Molecule: unclassified non-coding RNA, 275 nt
Filed under: Hevea brasiliensis (rubber tree)
Lineage: Eukaryota; Viridiplantae; Streptophyta; Magnoliopsida; Malpighiales; Euphorbiaceae
Source: RNAcentral
AAAUGAUCAAAUGUUUUUAUCUUAUAAGGCAAAAAGCUGAUGACCAUGACCCCAUUCUUGCAGCAGCGACAAGCAAUUGGCAAUCAUUGGCAAUUGAGCUGAAACAGCAUGCAGCGCGUGCCAUUGCGUUUUAGGAGAGUAAGAAUGGAAGACAGGUGAAUGAUAUUGAAUAUUUUGAGCAUUUAGGUGGUUAGUGGAUAUGUCAUAUUCUGCUCAAUUCUCCCAUACAAGGAACCAUUUUGUGGAAGCAGAAGAGACUAGUUGCUCACCAACUG